Molecule: ribosomal RNA, 518 nt
Filed under: uncultured bacterium
Lineage: Bacteria
Description: partial 16S ribosomal RNA
Source: RNAcentral
AUACUAUUGCGCGGUUACCGCGGCUGCUGGCACGGAGUUAGCCGGUGCUUCUUCUGUGAGUGAUGUCCUUCCUGCCGGCUAUUAACCCGCAGGCCUUCUUCCUCACUGAAAGUGCUUUACAACCCGAAGGCCUUCUUCACACACGCGGCAUGGCUGGAUCAGGGUUGCCCCCAUUGUCCAAUAUUCCCCACUGCUGCCUCCCGUAGGAGUCUGGGCCGUGUCUCAGUCCCAGUGUGGCUGAUCAUCCUCUCAGACCAGCUACGGAUCGUCGCCUUGGUGAGCCGUUACCUCACCAACCAGCUAAUCCGACAUAGGCUCAUCCGAUAGCGCGAGGCCCGAAGGUCCCCCGCUUUCCCCCGUAGGGCGUAUGCGGUAUUAGCCUGGGUUUCCCCAGGUUAUCCCCCACUACCGGGCAGAUUCCUAUGCAUUACUCACCCGUCCGCCGCUCGCCACCAGGGAGCAAGCUCCCCGUGCUGCCGCUCGACUUGCAUGUGUUAGGCCUGCCGCCAGCGUUCAAU